UGGUAUGAAGCCAAAGGGUAUAGGCGAUGGGUUCAUGUCCCAAGAAAAGCAGGUUCGAGUCCUGAGAUACCAA
Molecule: transfer RNA, 73 nt
Filed under: Chlamydomonas moewusii
Lineage: Eukaryota; Viridiplantae; Chlorophyta; Chlorophyceae; Chlamydomonadales; Chlamydomonadaceae
Description: tRNA-Met
Rfam family: tRNA
About the family: Transfer RNA (tRNA) molecules are approximately 80 nucleotides in length. Their secondary structure includes four short double-helical elements and three loops (D, anti-codon, and T loops). Further hydrogen bonds mediate the characteristic L-shaped molecular structure. tRNAs have two regions of fundamental functional importance: the anti-codon, which is responsible for specific mRNA codon recognition, and the 3' end, to which the tRNAs corresponding amino acid is attached (by aminoacyl-tRNA synthetases). tRNAs cope with the degeneracy of the genetic code in two manners: having more than one tRNA (with a specific anti-codon) for a particular amino acid; and 'wobble' base-pairing, i.e. permitting non-standard base-pairing at the 3rd anti-codon position.
Source: RNAcentral